CGGCGGACGGGUGAGUAACACGUGGACAAUCUGCCCCCCGGCCCGGGAUAGCCCAGGGAAACCUGGAUUAAUACCGGAUGAGACGGGACCCGCGAUGGCGGGAUCCGGGAAAGGCGCUGCGGCGCCGCCGGGGGGAUGAGUCUGCGUCCCAUUAGCUAGACGGCGGGGUAACGGCCCACCGUGGCGACGAUGGGUAGCCGGCCUGAGAGGGUGGACGGCCACAUUGGAACUGAGACACGGUCCAGACUCCUACGGGAGGGCAGCAGCUAAGAAUCUUCCGCAAUGGGCGAAAGCCUGACGGAGCGAACCGCCGCGUGAACGAAGAAGGCCGUGAGGUUGUAAAGUUCUUUUCGGGAGGGGGAACAACCGUGGCAGGGAAUGGCCGCGGGAUGACGUGAAUCCCGGAAUAAGCCCCGGCUAACUACGUGCCAGCCGCUGC
Molecule: ribosomal RNA, 439 nt
Filed under: uncultured bacterium
Lineage: Bacteria
Description: bacterial SSU rRNA
Rfam family: Bacterial small subunit ribosomal RNA
Source: RNAcentral